AAGAAAGUGACAGAGUGGCUAUGUGGUUGGCUUGAAACUAACUUAUGGGGGUUCAACUCCUUCCUUUCUCG
This 71-nucleotide transfer RNA is filed under the name Betta smaragdina (blue betta). RNAcentral describes it as "tRNA-Ser". It matches the Rfam family "tRNA". From Rfam's summary of the family: Transfer RNA (tRNA) molecules are approximately 80 nucleotides in length. Their secondary structure includes four short double-helical elements and three loops (D, anti-codon, and T loops). The record is from RNAcentral. Lineage: Eukaryota; Metazoa; Chordata; Actinopteri; Anabantiformes; Osphronemidae.